RNAcentral lists this ribosomal RNA (1460 nucleotides) under Klebsiella variicola. RNAcentral describes it as "partial 16S ribosomal RNA". The record is from RNAcentral. Lineage: Bacteria; Pseudomonadati; Pseudomonadota; Gammaproteobacteria; Enterobacterales; Enterobacteriaceae.
UGCAUGGCGGCAGCUACACAUGCAGUCGAGCGGUAGCACAGAGAGCUUGCUCUCGGGUGACGAGCGGCGGACGGGUGAGUAAUGUCUGGGAAACUGCCUGAUGGAGGGGGAUAACUACUGGAAACGGUAGCUAAUACCGCAUAACGUCGCAAGACCAAAGUGGGGGACCUUCGGGCCUCAUGCCAUCAGAUGUGCCCMGACUKGGAUUAGCUCGKUAGGUGUGGGUUAACGGCUCACCUAGGCGACGAUCCCUAGCUGGUCUGAGAGGAUGAYCAGSCACACUGGAACUGAGACACGGUYCAGACUCCUACGGGAGGCAGCAGUGGGGCAWUAUUUGCACAAUGGGCGCAAGSCUGAUGCARSCAUGCCGCGUGUGUUGAAGAAGGCCUUCGGGUUGUWAAGCACUUUCAGCGGGGAGGAAGGCGRUGAGGUUAAUAACCUYAUCGAUUGACGUUACCCGCAGAAGAAGCACCGGCUAACUCCGUGCCAGCAGCCGCGGUAAUACGGAGGGUGCAAGCGUUAAUCGGAAUUACUGGGCGUAAAGCGCACGCAGGCGGUCUGUCAAGUCGGAUGUGAAAUCCCCGGGCUCAACCUGGGAACUGCAUUCGAAACUGGCAGGCUAGAGUCUUGUAGAGGGGGGUAGAAUUCCAGGUGUAGCGGUGAAAUGCGUAGAGAUCUGGAGGAAUACCGGUGGCGAAGGCGGCCCCCUGGACAAAGACUGACGCUCAGGUGCGAAAGCGUGGGGAGCAAACAGGAUUAGAUACCCUGGUAGUCCACGCUGUAAACGAUGUCGAUUUGGAGGUUGUGCCCUUGAGGCGUGGCUUCCGGAGCUAACGCGUUAAAUCGACCGCCUGGGGAGUACGGCCGCAAGGUUAAAACUCAAAUGAAUUGACGGGGGCCCGCACAAGCGGUGGAGCAUGUGGUUUAAUUCGAUGCAACGCGAAGAACCUUACCUGGUCUUGACAUCCACAGAACUUUUCCAGAGAUGGAUUGGUGCCUUCGGGAACUGUGAGACAGRUGCUGCAUGGCUGUCGUCAGCUCGUGYUGUGAAAUGUKGGGUWAAGUCCCGCAACGAGCGCAACCCUUAUYCWUUGUUGCCAGCGGUYAKGCCGGGAMCUCAAAGGAAURACUGCCAGUGGAUAAMCUGRAGGAAGGUGGGGGAAUGGASSUCARGUCAUCAUGGSCCUGUACGAMCARGGCUACMCACSUGCUAACAWUGGCMUAUASMAAGAGGAWGCGASCUYGCSRKAGCAGGAGCRGACYUCRKMWAGUAWGUCGUAGUCCGGAUUGGAGUCUGCAACUCGACUCCAUGAAGUCGGAAUCGCUAGUAAUCGUAGAUCAGAAUGCUACGGUGAAUACGUUCCCGGGCCUUGUACACACCGCCCGUCACACCAUGGGAGUGGGUUGCAAAAGAAGUAGGUAGCUUAACCUUCGGGAGGGCGCUACCACUUGAUCUGCCU